RNAcentral lists this long non-coding RNA (1221 nucleotides) under Ornithorhynchus anatinus (platypus). RNAcentral's name for it is "lncRNA (ENSOANG00000042092.1)". The record is from RNAcentral. Lineage: Eukaryota; Metazoa; Chordata; Mammalia; Monotremata; Ornithorhynchidae.
ACUAAGGUUUCCCGUGACUGUCCCCUAGUUACAUACGGAAGAUCCCGGGAUAACUCUCUUCCUUUUCAUUUUUCUCCCCCUCCCUUCCUCGUCCCCUGUCUCUCCGUCUCUCUUUCUCCCUCUGUCUCUCUCCCCCCUCCCUCUCUGUCUCUCCCCUCUCCGUCUCUCCCUCCCUUUUUCUGUCUCUCUCUCCAUCUCUUCCUCUACCCAUCUUUUUCCCCCUCUCCCUUCCCUCCCUCCCCCCUUUUCUCUGUCUCUUCUCCCUCUCCCUGUGUCUCUCCCCCUUCCCUUUCCCCGUCUCUCCCUGUCUCCCUCUCUCCCUCUAACCAUCUCUCCCCUCUUCCUUCUCUCCCUCUUCUCCUUCUCCCUGUGUGUCUCUCCCCGUCUCUCUCCCUCUACCCAUCUCUCUUCCCCUCUCCCGUCCUUCUCUCCCUCUUUUUCUCUGUCUCUCCCUGUGUGUCUCUCCCCCUCCUCUCCCCUCUCUCUGUGUCUCUCCCUGUCUCCCUCUUUUUCUCUGUCUCUCCCUCUCCCUGUGUGUCCCUCUCCCUGUCUCUCCCUCCCCCUCUUCCUCUCCCCCGUCUCCCCUCCUUCCCUCCCUAUUUUUCUGUCUCUCUUCUCCCUCUCCCUGUGUGUCUCUCCCCCUUCCCUCUCCCCGUCUCUCCCUGUCUCUCUCUCCCCACCUCCCCUCCUUUCCUCCCUCUUUUUCUCUGUCUCUUCUCCCUCUCCCUGUGUCUCUCCCUUCCACUCCCUGUCUCUGUCUCCCUCUCUUCCUCUCUUUUCCUCUGUCUCUGUCUCUCCCUGUGUCUCUCUCCCUCUUUUUCUCUGUCUCCCUGUGAGUCUCCCCCUCCUCUCCCCAUCUCUCUACCCCCUCCCUCUUUUUCUCUGUCUCUCCCUGUGAGUGUCUCUCCCCCAUCUCUCCCUAUCUCUCCCCCCUCCCCGUCUCUCUGUCUCCCUGUCUCCCUCCAAUUCCAUGCUCUGUCUCUCCCUCCCUGCCCCUUAGGUACCGAGGCGCCAAACGGUGAUGAAACGCCCCGAAAAGCCAAUUGCUGGGUUAGGUUUUUUUUUGGGGGGGGGGGGGAAGAGAAGGGGGUGGGAGGAGGGAGGGGAGGGAAAAAAAGGGAGCUGCUUUUCCUGUGCAGAAGCGUCCUGCGACUUGGAAACCCAGUAAUUGCUGGAGACAGCGAGGCUGGGGGGCGGGUGGAGGUAGGCAUGUAUAAAUAG